Molecule: ribosomal RNA, 107 nt
Filed under: Petromyzon marinus (sea lamprey)
Lineage: Eukaryota; Metazoa; Chordata; Hyperoartia; Petromyzontiformes; Petromyzontidae
Source: RNAcentral
GCCUAUGACCAAAUCACCCUGAAUUCGCCCAAUCUCGUCGGAUCUCAGAAGAUAAACAGAGUUGAGCCUGGUUAGUACUUGGACGGCGGACCAGAUGUUUGUAGGCU